Mauremys reevesii (Reeves's turtle) is the source of this 900-nucleotide long non-coding RNA. RefSeq lists it as uncharacterized. The transcript has 3 exons. Lineage: Eukaryota; Metazoa; Chordata; Testudines; Geoemydidae. The record is from RefSeq and is a predicted model, not a curated record.
GCCACUCAGCCAGUGUGCAGGAAGAGACAGUCAAGAGCACAUCUGAUGAAGCUAAAGAAACAAUAGACAGAGGCACUAUUGUGACUGCACUCACAGCCUUUGAUUCAAACAAGUUAGAAACACCACUUUCUCACUUUCCCUUGCCAGGCACCCAGCACAGCGGGAGUCCCAGUCAUGCUGCAGACUGGAUCCGUAUGCUGCUCGCCUAUAUGUGCUGCUUUGUUGCCUACAGAAGUAAUUGCUGAUAAGCACAGCAAAGUUUUCUACAGCAGGGGAAGAAACAAGGCAGCCCUCCCAAGAAACUUCAUCAGAAGAUGGCAAACUACCUCCAGGAAAGUGUCCUAGAGAUCUCUGUGGAGGAUUCCUGGGACAUCCUGAACUCAAGCUGCGUGGACAAGCUUUCUUGCAUGGAGCACCUUCAGGGGCAUGAGAAGGCCGUUAACCCAGUCUUUGUAUCAUGAUGUUUCAAAAUGGCCCAUUUGGUCUUCAUAGUUCUUCUUGAUGGGUGAAAGAACCACUCCUCCUGCUUGGGUUCACAAGUUCAGAGCAGCGAUUUUUACACUUACAAAGCAAAACUUACAUAUUUCCUUAUAGCAUGGGAUACAGACAUUACAAAUGAGAUUAAUUCAUGCAGCAAUUUACAAGCAUUUUAUAGUCUAAGCACUAAACACAUUCUUACAAUUCUAACACCAAUCUUGAACAAUACAAACAUAGAAGUGAGCUGACCUGCUUUCUAGCUAUGAAUUUGUCAGGGCUCAGCUGACACCUACAGCCUUGGCAAGAGCUAGCAUCUGGUCUACCAGCAUAACAGAUGCUACAAUGUUAUAACACUUAUUUGAUAACAGGAGGUCCCCUUGGAUAUCAUGUUGAAGCUGUCAUUGUUUUCCUUUAUAAAAUAUA